AGGGUGCAAGCGUUGCCCGGAUUUAUUGGGCGUAAAGGGCGCGUAGGCGGCUCGGCACGUCCGUUGGGAAAUCGCCCGGCUCAACUGGGCGGGGUCAGCGGAUACGGUCGAGCUUGAGCAAGCUAGGGGGCAAUGGAAUUCCCGGUGUAGUGGUGGAAUGCGUAGAUAUCGGGAGGAACACCAGUGGCGAAGGCGGUUGCCUGGGGCUUUGCUGACGCUGAUGCGCGAAAGCGUGGGGAGCGAACAGG
Molecule: ribosomal RNA, 248 nt
Filed under: uncultured bacterium
Lineage: Bacteria
Description: partial 16S ribosomal RNA
Rfam family: Bacterial small subunit ribosomal RNA
Source: RNAcentral